UAUCAUAUAGCACCUCUAAAUUUAAUUGUCCAAAUUUAUAAAUUGCAUCUUUUAAUUACAGUAUUCUGGAGAGCAGGAAAAAUCAGCCAAGAUUUGAGUCUUUAACUAGUUCUAAGAAGUGAUAGGUCCACGGGGAAACUCAUCUAACCAUAUAGUAGCUUUCUUUAUUAGAGAGAAUGGGAAUAAUCUCAGGCGUAUCG
RNAcentral lists this long non-coding RNA (200 nucleotides) under Capsicum annuum. Its description in RNAcentral is "long non-coding RNA (CANN_LNC017743)". The record is from RNAcentral. Lineage: Eukaryota; Viridiplantae; Streptophyta; Magnoliopsida; Solanales; Solanaceae.